This is a long non-coding RNA of Equus caballus (horse), 802 nucleotides long. RefSeq lists it as uncharacterized. The record is from RefSeq and is a predicted model, not a curated record. Lineage: Eukaryota; Metazoa; Chordata; Mammalia; Perissodactyla; Equidae.
CGUGGCGUGGGUCGGACCCCCUCUCUGAGGGCAGUGGUUGGGCCGAGCCAGAGCCCCGCCCCGGAGGGUGGGGCUGAGGAGUCCUUUCCCUGGCCUGGCCCACCGAGGUCUGCGCCCACCUCCACGCCGGGGGAAGGGCGGGGAGGGGGCCUUCCGGUCACGGCCGCGGGCGGCGUGGAGGCUGGACGUCCUGCUUCCCCUCAGGGCCUGGUGGCACCUGUGCACCGUCCCCAAACCGCCCAGGGCGAGGUCGGCACUCGGGCCACCUGAUGCCAAGUGCCCAUGAAACGGACCCGACUCUCGAGAUUCUGAUAACGCGGCGUGACAUUCGACCCCGACCCAUCUUUGCCCCCUGAGGAGAGCAGGCCCGAAGGUUAUGCCAACAUACAAUGAAUUGAGGAGUGUUUCUUUUUUGUUCUGUUCUUCGAAAGAGUUUGUGAACCUGUACUACUACAAUGGAAUCCACAGAAUUUUGAAAUUAGUCAAACUACUACUUUCCAGCCCUCGUUCUAAUAGUUACAAAAAGAUGAUGGUAAGUAAAGUUAUGAAGUAGGUUCAGUCAAACCUGAAUUUCUUACAACAAAAUAUAUAAGUACUUAGAAUCUGGCAAUUUUUAGACAUUCCUUUCUGGUGAUCUUUUCCCAGACUUACGAUGUCUUUUUCAGGUAAUAUUACUACUAUGUUCACAAAUUAGAAAGAAAGAGAAAAAUUUGAGAAAACUAUAGUAAUUUAAAAAGAACACUGGUUUUAUCUAUGCCAUUUCUAUUGGCUACUGAAAAUAGUUAGAAAUAAGUAAAAAUAU